Molecule: ribosomal RNA, 344 nt
Filed under: uncultured bacterium
Lineage: Bacteria
Description: partial 16S ribosomal RNA
Rfam family: Bacterial small subunit ribosomal RNA
Source: RNAcentral
CCUACGGGUGGCGGCAGGGAGGAAUAUUGGGCAAUGGACGGAAGUCGGAACCAGCCAGGCCGCGUGCAGGAUGAAGGCGCGAUGAGGUGUAAAAGGCUGUUGUACGAGAAUAAGAGGUCUUACGUGUAGGGAUUUGAAUGUAUCGUACGAAUAAGGAUCGGCUAACUCCGUGCCAGCAGCAGCGGUAAUACGGAGGAGUCGAGCGUUAUCCGGAUUUAUUGGGUUUAAAGGGUGCGUAGGCUGGUGGAUGAGUUAGAGGUCAAAUGUCGGGGCUUAACCCCGUGCCUGCCUCUGAUACUGUUCGACUAGAGCGCGGCUGCAGCAGGCGGAAUGAGUCGUGUAGC